This 853-nucleotide ribosomal RNA is filed under the name uncultured bacterium. Its description in RNAcentral is "bacterial SSU rRNA". It matches the Rfam family "Bacterial small subunit ribosomal RNA", at positions 20 to 906 of the family's 1533-position model. The record is from RNAcentral.
UGGCUCAGAAUCAACGCUGGCGGCGCGCCUAACACAUGCAAGUCGAACGAGAAAGUGGAGCAAUCCAUGAGUACAGUGGCGUACGGGUGAGUAACACGUGGGUAAUCUACCUCUUAGUGAGGAAUAACCCUGGGAAACCGGGGCUAAUACCGCAUAAGCCUGAGAAGGGAAAGCAGAAAUGCGCUGAGAGAGGAGCCCGCGGCCGAUUAGCUAGUUGGUGGGGUAAGAGCCCACCAAGGCAGAGAUCGGUAGCCGGCCUGAGAGGGCACACGGCCACACUGGCACUGAAACACGGGCCAGACUCCUACGGGAGGCAGCAGUGGGGAAUCUUGCACAAUGGGGGAAACCCUGAUGCAGCGACGCCGCGUGAGCGAUGAAGCCCCUCGGGGUGUAAAGCUCUUUCGGCAGGGAAGAUAGUGACGGUACCUGCAGAAGCAGCUGCGGCUAACUACGUGCCAGCAGCCGCGGUAAUACGUAGGCAGCAAGCGUUGUUCGGAGUUACUGGGCGUAAAGGGUGUGUAGGCGGUUCUUUAAGUUUGGUGUGAAAUCUCCCGGCUUAACCGGGAGGGUGCGCCGAAUACUGAGGGACUAGAGUACGGGAGAGGAAAGUGGAAUUCCUGGUGUAGCGGUGAAAUGCGUAGAUAUCAGGAGGAACACCGGUGGUGUAGACGGCUUUCUGGACCGUAACUGACGCUGAGACACGAAAGCGUGGGUAGCAAACAGGAUUAGAUACCCUGGUAGUCCACGCCCUAAACGAUGCAUAUUUGGUGUGGGCAGUUCAUUCUGUCUGUGCCGGAGCUAACGCGUUAAAUAUGCCGCCUGGGGAGUACAGUCGCAAGGCUGAAACUCAAAG